RNAcentral lists this transfer RNA (77 nucleotides) under Rhodospirillales bacterium. Its description in RNAcentral is "tRNA-Pro". It matches the Rfam family "tRNA". From Rfam's summary of the family: Transfer RNA (tRNA) molecules are approximately 80 nucleotides in length. Their secondary structure includes four short double-helical elements and three loops (D, anti-codon, and T loops). Lineage: Bacteria; Pseudomonadati; Pseudomonadota; Alphaproteobacteria; Rhodospirillales. The record is from RNAcentral.
CGGGGUGUGGCGCAGCCUGGUAGCGCACCUGCUUUGGGAGCAGGGGGUCGCCGGUUCAAAUCCGGCCACCCCGACCA